RNAcentral lists this ribosomal RNA (253 nucleotides) under uncultured bacterium. RNAcentral describes it as "partial 16S ribosomal RNA". It matches the Rfam family "Bacterial small subunit ribosomal RNA", at positions 524 to 776 of the family's 1533-position model. The record is from RNAcentral.
UACAGAGGUCUCAAGCGUUGUUCGGAUUCAUUGGGCGUAAAGGGUGCGUAGGCGGCGCGGUAAGUCGGGUGUGAAAUCUUGGAGCUUAACUCCGAAACUGCAUUCGAUACUGCCGUGCUUGAGGACUGGAGAGGAGACUGGAAUUUACGGUGUAGCGGUGAAAUGCGUAGAUAUCGUAAGGAAGACCAGUGGCGAAGGCGGCGACCUGGGUAGAUACUGACGCUGAGGUGCGAAAGCGUGGGGAGCAAACAGG